UACGGAGGGCGCAAGCGAUGUUCGGAGUCAUUGGGCGUAAAGCGCGCUUGGGCGGUCUGGUCAGUCGGGUGUGAAAGCCCGGAGCUCAACUCCGGAACUGCACUCGAUACUGCCAGGCUAGAGUCCCGGAGAGGGUGGUGGAAUUCCCGGUGUAGAGGUGAAAUUCGUAGAUAUCGGGAGGAACACCAGUGGCGAAGGCGGCCACCUGGACGGUGACUGACGCUGAGACGCGAAAGCGUGGGGAGCAAACAGG
RNAcentral lists this ribosomal RNA (253 nucleotides) under uncultured bacterium. RNAcentral's name for it is "partial 16S ribosomal RNA". It matches the Rfam family "Bacterial small subunit ribosomal RNA", at positions 524 to 776 of the family's 1533-position model. The record is from RNAcentral.